RNAcentral lists this long non-coding RNA (1002 nucleotides) under Bos grunniens (domestic yak). Its description in RNAcentral is "lncRNA (ENSBGRG00000008652.1)". Lineage: Eukaryota; Metazoa; Chordata; Mammalia; Artiodactyla; Bovidae. The record is from RNAcentral.
AUGGAAAAGAAAUGCAAAAAAGCAAAAUGGCUGUCUGGGGAGGCCUUGCAAAUAGCUGUGAAAAUAAGAGAGGCGAAAAGCAAAGGAGAAAAGGAAAGAUAUAAACAUCUGAAUGCAGAGUUCCAAGGAAUAGCAAGAAGAGAUAAGAAAGCCUUCUUCAGCGAUCAAUGCAAAGAAAUAGAGGAAAACAACAGAAUGGGAAAGACUAGAGAUCUCUUCAAGAAAAUCAGAGAUACCAAAGGAACAUUUCAUGCAAAGAUGGGCUCGAUAAAGGACAGAAAUGGUAUGGAUCUAACAGAAGCAGAAGACAUUAAGAAGAGACGACAAGAAUACACAGAAGAACUGUACAAAAAAGAUCUUCAUGACCCAGAUAAUCAUGAUGGUGUGAUCACUGACCUAGAGCCAGAUAUCCUGGAAUGUGAAGUCAAGUGGGCCUUAGAAAGCAUCACUAUGAACAAAGCUAGUGGAGGUGAUGGAAUUCCAGGUGAGCUAUUCCAAAUCCUGAAAGAUGAUGCUGUGAAAGUGCUGCACUCAAUAUGCCAGCAAAUUUGGAAACCUCAGCAGUGGCCACAGGACUGGAAAAGGUCAGUUUUCAUUCCAAUCCCAAAGAAAGGCAAUGUCCAAGAAUGCUCAAACUACUGCACAAUUGCACUCAUCUCACACGCUAGUAAAGUAAUGCUCAAAAUUCUCCAAGCCAGGCUUCAGCAAUAUGUGAACCGUGAACAUCCUGAUGUUCAAGCUGGUUUUAGAAAAGGCAGAGGGACCAGAGAUCAAAUUGCCAACAUCUGCUGGAUCAUGGAAAAAGCAAGAGAGUUCCAGAAAGACAUCUAUUUCUGCUUUAUUGACUAUGCCAAAGCCUUCGACUGUGUGGAUCACAAGAAACUGUGGAAAAUUCUGAAAGAGAUGGGAAUACCAGACCACCUGAUCUGCUUCUUGAGAAAUCUGUAUGCAGGUCAGGAAGCAACAGUUAGAACUGGACAUAGAACAACAGACUGGUUCUAA